CCCUUAGAUGUUCUGGGCCGCACGCGCGCUACACUGAUUCAUGCAACAAGUUUUGUCCUUGGCUGAUAGGCCUGGGUAAUCUUUGAACGUGAAUCGUGAUGGGGAUAGAUGAUUGCAAUUAUUCAUCUUCAACGAGGAAUUCCUAGUAAACACAAGUCAUCAGCUUGCAUUGAUUACGUCCCUGCCCUUUGUACACACCGCCCGUCGCACCUACCGAUUGAAUGGUCCGGAGAAAUCUUCGGAUCUGAGAGAUGUCUGAUUAAUUUCGGACGCCUUUUGGAAAAGUUGCUUAAACCUUACCAUUUAGAGGAAGGUGAAGUCGUAACA
RNAcentral lists this ribosomal RNA (327 nucleotides) under uncultured eukaryote. Its description in RNAcentral is "partial 18S ribosomal RNA". It matches the Rfam family "Eukaryotic small subunit ribosomal RNA", at positions 1470 to 1796 of the family's 1831-position model. The record is from RNAcentral.